Molecule: ribosomal RNA, 441 nt
Filed under: uncultured bacterium
Lineage: Bacteria
Description: bacterial SSU rRNA
Rfam family: Bacterial small subunit ribosomal RNA
Source: RNAcentral
CCUACGGGGUGCAGCAGUAGGGAAUAUUGCUCAAUGGGCGAAAGCCUGAAGCAGCAACGCCGCGUGCGUGAUGAAGGUCUUCGGAUCGUAAAGCGCUCUUCUGCGAGAUGAGAAAGGACAGCAUCGUAGGAAUAAGUCUCGGCUAACUACGUGCCAGCAGCCGCGGUAACACGUAGGAGGCGAGCGUUAUCCGGAUUCACUGGGCGUAAAGCGCGUGCAGGCGGUUUGGUAAGUUGGGCGUGAAAGCUCCCGGCUCAACUGGGAGAGGUCGUUCAAUACUACCAAACUAGAGAGUAGAAGAGGAAGAUGGAAUUCCCGGUGUAGUGGUGAAAUGCGUAGAUAUCGGGAGGAACACCAGUGGCGAAAGCGAUCUUCUGGUCUAUUUCUGACGCUCAGACGCGACAGCUAGGGUAGUAAACGGGAUUAGAUACCCGCGUAGUC